CCUACGGGAGGCAGCAGUGGGGAAUAUUGCACAAUGGGGGAAACCCUGAUGCAGCGACGCCGCGUGAGCGAUGAAGUAUUUCGGUAUGUAAAGCUCUAUCAGCAGGGAAGAAAAUGACGGUACCUGACUAAGAAGCCCCGGCUAACUACGUGCCAGCAGCCGCGGUAAUACGUAGGGGGCAAGCGUUAUCCGGAUUUACUGGGUGGAAAGGGAGCGUAGACGGUCCUGCAAGCCAGAUGUGAAAGCCCGGGGCUCAACCCCGGGACUGCAUUUGGAACUGUAAGGCUAGAGUGUCGGAGAGGCAGGCGGAAUUCCUAGUGUAGCGGUGAAAUGCGUAGAUAUUAGGAGGAACACCAGUAGCGAAGGCGGCCUGCUGGACGAUGACUGACGUUGAGGCUCGAAAGCGUGGGGAGCAAACAGGAUUAGAUACCCUUGUAGUC
This 440-nucleotide ribosomal RNA is filed under the name uncultured bacterium. Its description in RNAcentral is "partial 16S ribosomal RNA". It matches the Rfam family "Bacterial small subunit ribosomal RNA", at positions 338 to 795 of the family's 1533-position model. The record is from RNAcentral.